CGACCCCAUCUCAAGUGAAAACACCCACUUAGUUUAAGAAUAUAAUUAAGUGGAGGAAAAGAAGCAUACAAGGAUUCCCCUAGUAACAACAACCGAACCAAGAACAACCAAGCAUGAAAAUCAGGUGGUAAAAUCACCUGAAUUGUAGUCUAUAGAAGUGUCCUUAACAUCAGAAUAGUCCCAAGUGCCCUAGAAGGGGGAAGUUGAUAGAGUGAUAGCCCUGUCGAGCCGGGACACUGUCGCACCACGAGGCGUUGUCGACGAGUCAAAUUUUUUGGGAAUGUAGCCCUAAUUGGGUGGUAAAUUCUGUCCAAGGAUAAAUAUGGGUGAGAGACCGAUAGCGAAAAAGUACCACAAGGGAAAUAUGAGAAGGAAUUUGAAAAGAGAGUUAAAGAGUGCCUAGAAUUGUUGGGAGGGAAGUAGAUGGAGGCCAAUGAUGCAUCUUGGUUAGAUGUGGAACGACUCAAGUUGGUUCGCCGCUUGAGUCGAGGUGAGAAAUAGCACAUGCCAUUGCAUCAACACAAGCGAGGGUGGAGUACUUCCUAUUGGUUUUUCAUUGUGCAGUCGAGGAACGAAGUGUGCACCCUUGGGGUGGGCCAAUAUGCACCUGCAUGCUCAUGGUGUUGGUUGGUGGGAUCUUCAUUCAACCCGUCUUGAAACAUGGACCAAGGAGUGUAACAUGUGUGCAAGUCGGUGGGUUUGUAAAGCUGCGAGAUGUAAGGAAACUGAUGGGAAAGAUCCCCUCUCCAUGGGGUGCAUUGUCAAAUGACCUUUAUCUUGUGCAAAGGGUUCGAGUGCGAGAACACCUUUUGGGACCCGAAAUAUGGUGAACUAUGCCUGAGUACGACGAAGCCAAAGGAAACUCUAGUGGAGACCCAUAGAAAUAUUAACGUAAAAAUCAUUCAUUUGACUUAAGUAUACGGGUGAAAGACUAAUAGAACCAUAUAGUAUUUGUUUUCCUUCGAAGUUUCCCUCAGGAUAGAUGGAUCUCAUGUACGAGUUUUAUCAGGUAAAGAAAAUGAUUAGAGGCAUUGGGGGCAUAACACCCUCGACCUAUUCUGAAAAUUUAAAUUGGUAAGGCAAUGUGAUUGCUCCAUUGAUCCAUGCCACAAAAUCAAGAGCUCCAAGUGGGGCAUUUUUGGUAAGCAGAAUUGGCCUUGCAGGUGAACUAAAAUUUGAGUUAUAGUGCCAAACUGCGCGCUAACCCAGAUCCCACAAAGGUUUUUGGUUUAUUAAGACAACAGGAGGGUGGUCAUGGAAGUCAAAAUCCACUAAGGAGUGUGUAACAACUCACCUCACGAAUCAACUAGGCCCAAAAAUGGAUGGUGCUGAAGCGCGCGACCUAUACUUGACCGUCAAAGUAAUUCUCAGGCUUUGAUGAGUAGGAGGACAUAGGGGGUCGUUGAGAAAACUUGGACGUGAUCCUGGGUGGACCGACCCCUAGUGUAGAUAUUGGUGGUAGUAGAAAAUAUUCAAAUGAGAACUUUCAAGAAUUAAGUGGGGAUAGGUUCCACGUGAACAACACUUGGACAUGGUGUAGUCGAUCCUAAGAGAUGGGAAAGACCUGUAUCAAAGGUGCAAUUUUCAUGAACAUCGAAAGGGAAUUGGGUUAAUAUUUCUGAACUGGGACAUGGAGGUGAACGACAAUGUAAGGAAAUCCGAAUACCUCAUCGGGGGCCCUAGGAAGUGUUAUAUUUUAUUUUUACAGUUUUCCCACCCUCAAAUUGGCUCAACCGGAGAUAGGGUCGAGCAACUAGAAGAGAACCGCACGUCUUGUAGUGUCCAGUGUGCCCUUUAUGGCCUUUAAAAAUAUGGAGGACCGAGUACCAUCCAUGCCCGGUCUUACUCAUAACCACAUCAUGUCUCCAAGGUGAACAAUCUCUAGUUAAUAGAACAAUGUAGGUAAGGGAAGUCGGCAAAAUGGAUUCGUAACUUUGGGAAAAUGAUUACCUCUUAUGGAUAUGCCUAAGGGUUUGCAUCCUCAAACCUUGGGCUAUCUAUAGUAUGCCUGAUCUAUUAUCACAACGAUGGAGGGAAUUCUCCUGUCGAUUGGGAUACAAACGUAGAAUGUCCCCUCGCGGGGACUUUUCCCUAGGUGACGAACAAUCGACUCAAAACUGGUAUGGACAAGGGGAAUUCGACUAUUUAAUUAAAAAAAACCAUUGAGAUGGUCCCUGUGGAUGCUGAUGCAAUUUGAUUUCUACCUAGUGCUCUGAAUUUCAAAGUGAAUAAAUUCAACCAAGCACGGGUGAUCCGAAAUCAGAUCCAGAAGCCUGAUAGGGCUUGAAAAAAUGCUCAAAAAUGAAAGUGCUUAGAAUCCUAUGAAACCAACACCAUUGCGUCUGUCUCAUCUUCUUGAUUCCAAUGGUAUAUUUACUUUGUCAAACGGGCUCCGUACGCGAAAGUUAUCACAUUUUGAUCGGAAGCCCAAACAGGUAAAAAGUCAAAGGUCAACUGGUAAAAAAUUCAACACUGAUGACAUCAGCAUGAUGACUGUGCAGGAUAUGACGUGGCACUCUCUGGAUGAUGGUGAUUGGGUAGGUUCGCUGACAAGGCAGACAUGUGGCAGGCCACUGGACCAUUCAAUAACUGACAAGUGGCAUUAAUACGGCAAAUGGGGAGAUGCCACGUGGCCCAGUCAUGGGCAGCCACGUGGCACCUAGUCAUCAGUUGAAGUGGCAUGUUGCAAAAAUUGUUUUGGGGUCCAUGGGAUUUGAACCCACGACCACCACCAAUCCCAACAACUUAAGAAAUGGUUCUUUACCAAUGUGCCACAUUAUUUCUUAUGUUAUAAAACCCACAAUAUUAAAUAGAUUGUAUGGUAUUAUGGCGCAUAAAGGAGAGGGCUGGGGGCUAAGCCCCAACCCGUGGUUGUGUAAAUCCCCAUAUGACCGGGAGUAAAGGGGCACACACCAUUGAAGGGGGCUGCGCCCAUAUUAUAACUAUAAAGUGGGUUUUUAAACUACUUUUUGGGUUUUUAUUGUAAUUAAGCCUAUUU
Picea glauca (white spruce) is the source of this 2998-nucleotide non-coding RNA. NCBI's taxonomy places the organism in Eukaryota, Viridiplantae, Streptophyta, Pinopsida, Pinales, Pinaceae. The record is from Rfam.